Molecule: ribosomal RNA, 920 nt
Filed under: archaeon enrichment culture clone C1-42C-A
Lineage: Archaea
Description: bacterial SSU rRNA
Rfam family: Archaeal small subunit ribosomal RNA
Source: RNAcentral
UUCCGGUUGAUCCUGCCCGGAGGUUACUGCUAUCGAGGUUCGACUAAGCCAUGCGAGUCGAAUGUAGCAAUACAUGGCGAACUGCUCAGUAACACGUGGACAACCUGCCCUUAGGACGGGGAUAAACCCGGGAAACUGGGUAUAAUACCCGAUAGGUCUCGAUUGCUGGAAUGCAUCGAGAUUUAAAGCUCCGGCGCCUAAGGAUGGGUCUGCGGCCUAUCAGGUAGUAGUGGGUGUAGCGUACCUACUAGCCUACGACGGGUACGGGUUGUGAGAGCAAGAGCCCGGAGAUGGAUUCUGAGACACGAAUCCAGGCCCUACGGGGUGCAGCAGGCGCGAAAACUUUACAAUGCUGGCAACAGCGAUAAGGGAACCUCGAGUGCCAGGUUACAAAUCUGGCUGUCGAGAUGCCUAAAAAGCAUUUCAUAGCAAGGGCCGGGCAAGACCGGUGCCAGCCGCCGCGGCAACACCGGCGGCUCGAGUGGUAACCGUUAUUAUUGGAUCUAAAGGGUCUGUAGCCGGCCGGAUAAGUCUCUUGAGAAAUCUGGCAGCUUAACUGUCAGGCUUUCAGGAGAUACUGUCUGGCUCGGGGCCGGGAGAGGUGAGAGGUACUUCAGGGGUAGGGGUGAAAUCUUGUAAUCCUUGAAGGACCACCAGUGGCGAAGGCGUCUCACCAGAACGGACCUGACGGCAAGGGACGAAAGCUAGGGGCACGAACCGGAUUAGAUACCGGGGUAGUCCUAGCCGUAAACGAUACUCGCUAGGUGUCGGCCACGGUGCGACCGUUGUCGGUGCCGUAGGGAAGCCGUGAAAGCGAGCCACCUGGGAAGUACGGCCGCAAGGCUGAAACUUAAAGGAAUUGGCGGGGGGAGCACCACAACGGGGUGGAGCUUGCGGUUUUAAUUGGAUUUCAACGCCGG